AUGAUCAGAAGGUAAAGAGCCUGGAUCCACCUCUUCUCAAGCUCAUUUAAGGACUAACAGCUAAUAAAGCAGUGUUUUUCCAGAUGGAAGUUGUACUUCUCAGAAGUUGUCACUGGUUAUUGAAAGCAAACACCUCUCUGGGUUCAGUAAGGAAGUAUGUCCAAGAUGUUAUCGUGUCCAGAUCCACAAACCAGUCUUGGAUUUGUCACACUGAGUGACAGAAUAAGGGGCUGCUUGUAUGAUCGAGGAAAUGCAGAUCUCAUUCUCUCUCUGUGUCAG
Molecule: long non-coding RNA, 279 nt
Organism: Tympanuchus pallidicinctus (lesser prairie-chicken)
Lineage: Eukaryota; Metazoa; Chordata; Aves; Galliformes; Phasianidae
Exons: 3
Source: RefSeq, a predicted model, not a curated record